RNAcentral lists this transfer RNA (90 nucleotides) under Clostridium perfringens. Its description in RNAcentral is "tRNA-Gly". The stretch from base 1 to 71 matches the Rfam family "tRNA". Rfam says of the family: Transfer RNA (tRNA) molecules are approximately 80 nucleotides in length. Their secondary structure includes four short double-helical elements and three loops (D, anti-codon, and T loops). Further hydrogen bonds mediate the characteristic L-shaped molecular structure. tRNAs have two regions of fundamental functional importance: the anti-codon, which is responsible for specific mRNA codon recognition, and the 3' end, to which the tRNAs corresponding amino acid is attached (by aminoacyl-tRNA synthetases). tRNAs cope with the degeneracy of the genetic code in two manners: having more than one tRNA (with a specific anti-codon) for a particular amino acid; and 'wobble' base-pairing, i.e. permitting non-standard base-pairing at the 3rd anti-codon position. The record is from RNAcentral. Lineage: Bacteria; Bacillati; Bacillota; Clostridia; Eubacteriales; Clostridiaceae.
GCGGGUGUAGUUCAAUGGUAGAACACCAGCCUUCCAAGCUGGAUACCCGGGUUCGAUUCCCGGUACGUUCGAUUCCCGGUACCCGCUCCA